This is a small nuclear RNA of Heterocephalus glaber (naked mole-rat), 127 nucleotides long. Lineage: Eukaryota; Metazoa; Chordata; Mammalia; Rodentia; Bathyergidae. The record is from Ensembl.
GUACUAUGAUAAGGAUAAGAUUAUUAACACUUUCCUUAAUGAGAAUGAAAGACCGUCUAUGACCUAUGAAACACACAUGCAGUUAAGGAACUGACACCUACUUCAUGUCAUCUACCCAUAAUUUUUG